GGGAGAGGAACUUGUUCCUCGAGUCGUUGAUUUCACACUGCCGAGAAAAGCCUCUAGCUAGAAUAACGGUGCCCGUACCGCAAACCGACACAGGUAGUCAAGAUGAGAAUUCUAAGGUGAGCGAGCGAACUCUCGUUAAGGAACUCGGCAAAAUGACCCCGUAACUUCGGGAGAAGGGGUGCUCUUUGAGGUUCACGCUUCGAAGAGCCGCAGUGAAUAGGCCCAAGCGACUGUUUAUCAAAAACACAGGUCUCUGCUAAACCGUAAGGUGACGUAUAGGGGCUGACGCCUGCCCGGUGCUGGAAGGUUAAGAGGAGUGGUUAGCGCAAGCGAAGCUACGAAUCGAAGCCCCAGUAAACGGCGGCCGUAACUAUAACGGUCCUAAGGUAGCGAAAUUCCUUGUCGGGUAAGUUCCGACCCGCACGAAAGGCGUAACGAUUUGGGCACUGUCUCAACGAGAGACUCGGUGAAAUCAUAGUACCGGUGAAGAUGCCGGUUACCCGCGACAGGACGGAAAGACCCCGUGGAGCUUUACUGUAGCCUGAUAUUGAAAUUCGGUACAGUUUGUACAGGAUAGGUAGGAGCCUUAGAAGCGUGAGCGCUAGCUUACGUGGAGGCAUUGGUGGGAUACUACCCUAAUUGUAUUGGAUUUCUAACCCGCAGCACUUAUCGUGCUGGGAGACAGUGUCAGGCGGGCAGUUUGACUGGGGCGGUCGCCUCCUAAAGAGUAACGGAGGCGCUCAAAGGUUCCCUCAGAAUGGUUGGAAAUCAUUCAUAGAGUGUAAAGGCAUAAGGGAGCUUGACUGCGAGACCUACAAGUCGAGCAGGGUCGAAAGACGGACUUAGUGAUCCGGUGGUUCCGCAUGGAAGGGCCAUCGCUCAACGGAUAAAAGCUACCCCGGGGAUAACAGGCUUAUCUCCCCCAAGAGUUCACAUCGACGGGGAGGUUUGGCACCUCGAUGUCGGCUCAUCGCAUCCUGGGGCUGUAGUCGGUCCCAAGGGUUGGGCUGUUCGCCCAUUAAAGCGGUACGCGAGCUGGGUUCAGAACGUCGUGAGACAGUUCGGUCCCUAUCCGUCGUGGGCGUAGGAAAUUUGAGAGGAGCUGUCCUUAGUACGAGAGGACCGGGAUGGACAUACCUCUGGUGUACCAGUUGUCGUGCCAACGGCAUAGCUGGGUAGCUAUGUAUGGACGGGAUAAGUGCUGAAAGCAUCUAAGCAUGAAGCCCCCCUCGAGAUGAGAUUUCCCAACUUCGGUUAUAAG
RNAcentral lists this ribosomal RNA (1261 nucleotides) under Staphylococcus pseudintermedius. Its description in RNAcentral is "partial 23S ribosomal RNA". It matches the Rfam family "Bacterial large subunit ribosomal RNA", at positions 1568 to 2832 of the family's 2925-position model. The record is from RNAcentral. Lineage: Bacteria; Bacillati; Bacillota; Bacilli; Caryophanales; Staphylococcaceae.